GCCUCAUACUAAUAGCUUUGCCUCCAUUUUGAACUUCUGGUACUAAAGUCACGCUAAGUCUGUAUCAGGUGUGUAUUUGUUUGAAUUGAUUAGACUUACAGCGGUGUAAACUUGCCGUGUUCGUUUUUUAUUUUUUAAUUUUUUUACUGAAAUUCCGCGCACAGACGUGAACACGUUUAGGAAAGAGGGCGAGGUGACGCUCGGGCGCUUGACGUCAUCUUUUCCGCUCGGCGCGAGCUGCAGCUACGGGGAACGUUCUCGAAACGUCCGAGGGUCGCGGGAUGAGCUUUUACUGGAGAGUGGACAUUCUGUGUAAACUCUAGAGACUCUUGUGUGUGAAAAUCCCAGCUCAGCAGUUUCUGAAAUACUCAAACCAACAAUCAUGCCACAGUCUCUCAGACCACAUCUUCCCCCAUUCUCAUGCUUGAUGUGGACAUUACUUGAAGCUCUUUCAAGGCUUUCUGCAUUGUGCUGCUUCCACAUGAGUGGCUGAUUGGAUAACUGCAUGAAUGAACAGGUGUUCCUAAUAAAGUGGUCGCUCUCAGACGUAUUUCACCUUGUUCAUUGCUGAAAUGGGGAGCCAGCCAUGCUGCCUCUGAGCCAGGUCCAGGACAGGAAUGGUGGCAGCCUGCUUGUGACCCUCAGGGUAGUUUUUUAUAAUGGCUUCAACUCGCUG
Long non-coding RNA from Pangasianodon hypophthalmus (striped catfish), 676 nucleotides. RefSeq lists it as uncharacterized. The transcript has 3 exons. Lineage: Eukaryota; Metazoa; Chordata; Actinopteri; Siluriformes; Pangasiidae. The record is from RefSeq and is a predicted model, not a curated record.